Long non-coding RNA from Homo sapiens (human), 2326 nucleotides. RefSeq lists it as uncharacterized. The record is from RefSeq and is a predicted model, not a curated record. The transcript is spliced from 4 exons. NCBI's taxonomy places the organism in Eukaryota, Metazoa, Chordata, Mammalia, Primates, Hominidae.
CGGAGCAGCGCGUAACUAGGGAGAGGAUAGGCCGGGCUGGUGGAGAUGCGGGGAGAGACCAGCCAAAGCUAAAGAGCCAAAGCAAAGGCAACUACAUUGUCGGCACUGCCCUAGGCUCCAGGGCCACAGAGACAACCAUAGCUUCAGCCUCCUGCUCCGAAUGACAUCUCUCAGAAAUCUUCCCUGACUGUCCAGGCGGAAUUAAUGGUUCACUUCCCUGUUCCUCUAUACCUUGAGCAUCCCUCUACAAUUGAAUGCUCCUUCAUUCCAUUUCAUUGCACCAGCAUGUAUCGAGGGUCUACUGUUAUCUAUCGCUGAAGAGAAUGAUUGCAAAAAACUUGAAUGAACAUGGAAAAUGCUGAUGAUCAGAUUUCCAUUGAAAAGAAAGGUGUGCUCCUUGGGGUGGGGGUGUUGUUGUAAUUGUCAGAAAAUGUUUAAUAAAAGAAACAGAAAUAACAAUAAUCUUGUUAGCAUAAUUGUGAGUGAACUUUUGCUCUUUUUUAAUUCUCAAAAAUACCCUAAACAUCAUGUUUCACGGUCUUUACAAAAACACCACCACAGAAACAACAGAAGCCUCCGGGCCUGAGGUGUCAUACUGGGUAUGGCCACAUGGUGUCCCUCCAGCUCAGUCUAAACCUUCCAGACUACAGUCUUCCAACAGUCUCCGCUUCGCCCAGCAGCCGGGGCUAGUCCGAGCCGAGCGAACCCUAAGCUACGGGAACCAGCUUCUUGGUGCUGUCCCAAGAGUGGAGAGGAGACAGAUGAACGUUUCUCAGGCUAGAGGAAGGCGGUUUAUUUGCUUCCAAGGGUUCCAGUAGACAGUUCUGACACGAAAUUUCGUUGUGGAGGGAACUUUUAAGACUGUGUGAAGGGAGGGAAUGGGAAGGGUUUAGAUUUGCAUAGUAGGUGGGCAGCUUUGUGGCGGUUGGGAGGAGGUUUGGAUGACUUGAGAGAGACCAGGAAAAAAGCUGGAGUCCGGACUGAGGAACGGAAGGAUACGGAGUUUUUUUGUAGGCGAGGAUAUGAACAAGGAAGUACAUCACCCUCAGUGCUGUUGGCAGCCUUCCUGUGACCAUGAGGAGAGUCAGCUUCAAGAUGAUCCUUUGGAUAAAAGAGCAAAGAAUCAGAAAGAUCCUGGUUCCUUGAUGACUUCAACAAGCCAUUAGGUCAAUCAACAUCCUGAAAUUUGCUCUAUUUCUGGAUUCUAGUUAGGUGAGUCCAUACAUCCUCAUGUUUCAAACACAUUUAUUUUGUCCUCUUAUUGUGGUGGUUUUAAAAUAUGAAUACACAUUUUUUUCAUGUUCCUCCUUUAAAAAAGUGGAGCCUAAUUUUCCCCUACACUUAAGUGUGGGCUUGUCUUAGUGAUUUUUUUGUAAAGCAUAGAGAAUAUGGCAGAAGUGACAGUGAGUGACUUCUGGGAUUAGGACACAAAGGCAUUGUGUCUUCCUCCUUGCUUUCUCUAUUGUAUCACUGACUCUGGAGGAAGUCAGCUGCUGUGUCAUGAGGGCACUCAAACAGCCCUAUGAAGAGGUCCAUGUGGUAAGGAACUGAGGACUUCUGCCAACAGCCAGCAAUAACUUGCCAGGUAUGUGAAUGUGCCAUCUUGGAAGCAAGUUCUCCAACUCCAGACAAGCUCUCUAAUAACUGUGGCCCCAGCUGACAUCUUGGCUGCAACCCCACGAGGGAAUCUGAGCCAGCACCACCAAGCUAAGCCACUCCUAAAUUCCUGACUUGCAGAAAAUGUGUGAAAAUAAAUGUCUAUUGUUUUAAGCCAUUCAGUUUUGGGGGUAAUUAGUUAUGUUACAGAAGAUAACUAAUACUCUUAUAUCUGAAGGCAUCCUAAAACAGAUGCACCUUCCUAGCUAUAAUCACUGACGUCCAGUAUUGAGUUGAACACAGUUCAUUUCACCAGGGUCACUGUAUUUGUUUCAUUCUGGAGCCCCAGAGAAGUAGCCAGACCAGGGAGAAGAAAUGACUGGGUUGUGUGUCUUGGUCAUAUGUUUCCCUUGGCCAGCCUGUUGUGACAUCAUAGGGCCUUGGACAGUGCCACAGUUUCCUAUGGCCCAGCAUGAUGUGGGAGGUGCAGAAUUAAUUCCUAGUCACCAGAGAGAAGUAUGAAAGUGGCUGGGCAAGUAGAAUCUGAAUAGGGUUUAUAGCUGGGAAUGAGAGGUGACAGGACAUCUGAGCUUAUAUCAGUGUUGGUAGAUAAUAACAGAAAAGCAGAUUGCCACCCCUAUUCCAAUGCCUUGGCCCUCUUUAACUCUGAGAAAAAGAAGGGAACCUCAGUGGAAUGGAGCUUAAAAAUAAAUUGUAAUAACAAAGCAAA